CUGCAGGCAGGACAGUCCUCUUCCCGGGCUCACCGCAACAUUCAGUAGCUGCUUUGAAGGAACAGAAUAAGGUUGCCACAUGCCAGUCUGUCCUCCGAUCACUUCAGGGUUCCACUCACCGUGGGUUCAAGGCUUCUUUGAUUCUUUGUUUCCUUUAGUUUUCAUUCUCUCCUCUUCAGAACAAGAGUAGAUGGUUCGGUGUAUGCAAAUAUCACAGUUCCAGAAACCCACACCUGUGACUGAUGGGAGUGGUGGACAAAUACCCACAACUUCCUCUCUCUACUCUUGGCUGAGGACAAUUCUGAAGUGAGCCCUACACUGUCUCCCAGAUGCAGUCUGACCUGAGCCAUGAAGAAGUGCAGAGUCCCCAAGAGGCCAGAGAGCUCACGUCUGGUUAGAGUCGGGGUGUUUGAUGGGAAGAUGAAAGGAGGAGCUGGCAUCUGAGCUCUUGUAAAUGAAGAAAUUAAAACUGCAAGUUGAAACUGAGUCACUGAUGGCGCCAGAUGUUUCUGGAGCAAAACUGGGAAAGAGGGUGAGCAUUGGAAAGACACCUCCUCCUGUUAUCUUCGAGAAGCCAUUUACUGGGAAAACAAAAACUGAGCUCCAUGAUGCAUAAAUUCCAAAAUGCAGAGGCCAAUUUCUUUCCCUUUGACCACAUGUCGGAAAGGCUCGGGGUUCAGUAACUGGAGGAGGCAGUGUUUAAUCCCAAUUUUACCAGUGAAGAAACUGAGGCUCAGAAAAACAAAGUGACUCCAAAUUCCUUGAGCACCUGGCCAGGGUCAGUCCCCACGGUGGCUGAGAUGGUUGACCAAUGGCCUCUGGGGAGAAGGCUAUGGGCACAGACACUGGUCCCUGGCUUGUUGGGAGGGAACAAGGAUGUCCAUCUGUCCUCCCUCAACACUGCCUCCUGGGGGACAAGGAAGAUGCCCAGAGUGAGUGGGCAGGGUGGGC
Molecule: long non-coding RNA, 951 nt
Filed under: Homo sapiens (human)
Lineage: Eukaryota; Metazoa; Chordata; Mammalia; Primates; Hominidae
Description: HSALNT0317411
Source: RNAcentral